ACAGUGAUGUGACAUGCAGCUUUCAAGACAACUACAGAAAUUCCAGUGUAAAAACUGAAGAGUUCAAUCAAGAAACGACUUAUGUCAAUGAGGCUUAAAUUCAAUUUUAACCAGUGGUGAGAGGCACAGUUGGUGAGCAGACCUCUAUGGAAUGCAAACACGUAUUUGAAAGGCCUACAAAGAGAACUCCAACUUCGGAAAUACUGUAACUGCUUUUGCAUUUGGUAUGACACCACACCGUUUAUAAUAGCACCUAGGAAAUUUCAUAUUGCAUUUGGACGACUGCAACAGAUAUCAUUAUUCUGGAUGGCCUUUCUAAAGAAACAUUUCCAACUUGCAUGUCUACUUGUAUCUUCAUUCCUUAAAAUGUUGAAAACACCAGGUAAAUUGUGGUGUUUUGUAGGCAGCAUGAGGCUCGACAGAAUGAAACCAUCAGAUUACUUCGAAGGUGUUGUAGUGCAUUCAG
RNAcentral lists this long non-coding RNA (466 nucleotides) under Homo sapiens (human). RNAcentral describes it as "non-protein coding lnc-SCNN1G-1:1". The record is from RNAcentral. Lineage: Eukaryota; Metazoa; Chordata; Mammalia; Primates; Hominidae.